This 495-nucleotide ribosomal RNA is filed under the name uncultured Syntrophorhabdus sp. RNAcentral describes it as "bacterial SSU rRNA". It matches the Rfam family "Bacterial small subunit ribosomal RNA", at positions 63 to 536 of the family's 1533-position model. The record is from RNAcentral. Lineage: Bacteria; Pseudomonadati; Thermodesulfobacteriota; Syntrophorhabdia; Syntrophorhabdales; Syntrophorhabdaceae.
CGAGCGCGAAAGUCCUUCGGGGGCGAGUAUAGCGGCGGACGGGUGAGUAAUAAUAGGUAAUCUACCUUCGAGCUUGGGAUAACCCCGCGAAAGUGGGGCUAAUACCGGAUAAGACCACGUAACCAUGUUGCGGGGUAAAAGGUGGCUUAUUUUUUAAAUGAGCUAUCACUUGAGGAUGAGCCUGUGGCCUAUCAGCUUGUUGGCGGGGUAAAAGCCCACCAAGGCUAUGACGGGUAGCUGGUCUGAGAGGACGACCAGCCACACUGGGACUGAGACACGGCCCAGACUCCUACGGGAGGCAGCAGUGGGGAAUAUUGGGCAAUGGGCGAAAGCCUGACCCAGCGACGCCGCGUGGGCGAUGAAGGCCUUCGGGUUGUAAAGCCCUGUCAUGCGGAAAGAACGACCCUGUGAAGCAUACUCACAGGGAGUGACGGUACCGAAGGAGGAAGCACCGGCUAACUCCGUGACAGCAGCCGCGGUAAUACGGAGGGUGCA